This 253-nucleotide ribosomal RNA is filed under the name uncultured bacterium. Its description in RNAcentral is "partial 16S ribosomal RNA". It matches the Rfam family "Bacterial small subunit ribosomal RNA", at positions 524 to 776 of the family's 1533-position model. The record is from RNAcentral.
UACAGAGGUCUCAAGCGUUGUUCGGAUUCAUUGGGCGUAAAGGGUGCGUAGGUGGCGAGGUUAGUCAGGUGUGAAAUCUCGGGGCUCAACCCCGAAACUGCACUUGAUACUGCCUUGCUAGAGUACUGGAGAGGAGAUUGGAAUUUACGGUGUAGCAGUGAAAUGCGUAGAUAUGUGGAGGAACACCGAUGGCGAAGGCAGCCCCUGGGUCAAAACUGACGCUCGAUGCACGAAAGCGUGGGGAGCAAACAGG